GAUGAACGCUGGCGGCGUGCAUAAUACAUGCAAGUCGAGCGAACAGACGAGGAGCUUGCUCCUCUGACGUUAGCGGCGGACGGGUGAGUAACACGUGGAUACCUACCUAUAAGACUGGGAUAACUUCGGGAAACCGGAGCUAAUACCGGAUAAUAUAUUGAACCGCAUGGUUCAAUAGUGAAAGACGGUUUUGCUGUCACUUAUAGAUGGAUCCGCGCCGCAUUAGCUAGUUGGUAAGGUAACGGCUUACCAAGGCAACGAUGCGUAGCCGACCUGAGAGGGUGAUCGGCCACACUGGAACUGAGACACGGUCCAGACUCCUACGGGAGGCAGCAGUAGGGAAUCUUCCGCAAUGGGCGAAAGCCUGACGGAGCAACGCCGCGUGAGUGAUGAAGGUCUUCGGAUCGUAAAACUCUGUUAUUAGGGAAGAACAAAUGUGUAAGUAACUAUGCACGUCUUGACGGUACCUAAUCAGAAAGCCACGGCUAACUACGUG
This 496-nucleotide ribosomal RNA is filed under the name uncultured bacterium. Its description in RNAcentral is "partial 16S ribosomal RNA". It matches the Rfam family "Bacterial small subunit ribosomal RNA", at positions 28 to 507 of the family's 1533-position model. The record is from RNAcentral.